RNAcentral lists this ribosomal RNA (253 nucleotides) under uncultured bacterium. Its description in RNAcentral is "partial 16S ribosomal RNA". It matches the Rfam family "Bacterial small subunit ribosomal RNA", at positions 524 to 776 of the family's 1533-position model. The record is from RNAcentral.
GACAGAGGAUGCAAGCGUUAUCCGGAAUGAUUGGGCGUAAAGCGUCUGUAGGUGGCUUUUCAAGUCCGCCGUCAAAUCCCAGGGCUCAACCCUGGACAGGCGGUGGAAACUGCCAAGCUGGAGUACGGUAGGGGAGAAUGGAAUUCCCGGUGUAGCGGUGAAAUGCGCAGAUAUCGGGAGGAACACCGGUGGCGAAGGCGGUUCUCUGGGCCUGACCUGACGCUGAGGAGCGAAAGCGUGGGGAGCGAACAGG